AUUGAACGCUGGCGGCAUGCCUUACACAUGCAAGUCGAACGGCAGCACGGGUGCUUGCACCUGGUGGCGAGUGGCGAACGGGUGAGUAAUACAUCGGAACGUACCUUAUCGUGGGGGAUAACGCAGCGAAAGCUGUGCUAAUACCGCAUACGCCCUGAGGGGGAAAGCGGGGGAUCGAAAGACCUCGCGCGAUUAGAGCGGCCGAUGCCUGAUUAGCUUGUGGUGGGGUAAAAGCCCACCAAGGCGACGAUCAGUAGCUGGUCUGAGAGGACGAUCAGCCACACUGGGACUGAGACACGGCCCAGACUCCUACGGGAGGCAGCAGUGGGGGAAUUUUUGGACAAUGGACGCAAGUCUGAUCCAGCCAUU
Molecule: ribosomal RNA, 369 nt
Filed under: uncultured bacterium
Lineage: Bacteria
Description: bacterial SSU rRNA
Rfam family: Bacterial small subunit ribosomal RNA
Source: RNAcentral